This 255-nucleotide ribosomal RNA is filed under the name uncultured bacterium. Its description in RNAcentral is "partial 16S ribosomal RNA". It matches the Rfam family "Bacterial small subunit ribosomal RNA", at positions 524 to 776 of the family's 1533-position model. The record is from RNAcentral.
UACGGAGGGUGCGAGCGUUGUCCGGAAUCAUUGGGCGUAAAGGGCGCGUAGGUGGCCCCUCAAGCGCGCGGUGAAAGUCAGGGGCUCAACCCCUGAUCGGCCGUGCGAACUGGGGAGCUUGAGCACUGUAGAGGCAGGCGGAAUUCCGGGUGUAGCGGUGGAAUGCGUAGAGAUCCGGAAGAACACCGGUGGCGAAGGCGGCCUGCUGGGCAGUUUUGCUGACACUGAGGCGCGACAGCGUGGGGAGCAAACAGG